Molecule: ribosomal RNA, 1313 nt
Filed under: Oliarus sp. 'anomalus'
Lineage: Eukaryota; Metazoa; Arthropoda; Insecta; Hemiptera; Cixiidae
Description: SSU rRNA
Rfam family: Eukaryotic small subunit ribosomal RNA
Source: RNAcentral
AAUAGCGUAUAUUAAAGUUGUUGCGGUUAAAAAGCUCGUAGUUGGAUCUGUGUCCCGCGCCGUCGGUUCACCGCCUGUCGGUGUUAAACUUUGGCGUGUAAUUGCGGGACGUCCUGUCGGUGGCGGAACGGGGCUUCGUCAAACCGUAGGGGCGUCCAGGUCUCCUGCGACACCCUGAAGGCUGGCGUAUGCUUCCGGCCGCCUUGUCAAUCCCGCCGCGGUGCUCUUCACCGAGUGUCGAGGCGGGCCGGCACGUUUACUUUGAACAAAUUAGAGUGCUUUAAGCAGGCUCUUUCCCGCCUGUAUAUUGUGUGCAUGGAAUAAUGGAAUAGGACCUCGGUUCUAUUUUGUUGGUUUCCGGAAUCUGAGGUAAUGAUCAAUGGGGACAGGCGGGGGCAUUCGUAUUGCGACGUUAGAGGUGAAAUUCUUGGAUCGUCGCAAGACGGACCGAAGCGAAAGCAUUUGCCAAGUAUGUUCUCGUCGAUCAAGAACGAAAGUUAGAGGUUCGAAGGCGAUCAGAUACCGCCCUAGUUCUAACCAUAAACUAUGCCUGCCAGCGAUCCGCCGGCGUUCCUCCGAUGACCCGGCGGGCAGCUUCCGGGAAACCAGAGCUUUUGGGUUCCGGGGGAAGUAUGGUUGCAAAGCUGAAACUUAAAGGAAUUGACGGAAGGGCACCACCAGGAGUGGAGCCUGCGGCUUAAUUUGGACUCAAACACGGGAGAACACUCACCAGGCCCGGACACUCGGAAGGAUUGACAGAUUGAGAGCUCUUUCUUGAUUCGGUGGGUGGUGGUGCAUGGCCGUUCUUAGUUGGUGGAGCGAUUUGUCUGGUUAAUUCCGAUAACGAACGAGACUCUAGCCUACUAACUAGACGUUUCCGGUAUCCACAAUCGUGCUACCGGCGAGUAAAUUUCUUCUUAGAGGGACAGGCGGCUUCUAGCCGCACGAGACUGAGCAAUAACAGGUCUGUGAUGCCCUUAGAUGUCCUGGGCCGCACGCGCGCUACACUGAAGGAAUCAGCGUGUCUUCCCUGUCCGAAAGGACCGGGUAACCCGCUGAACCUCCUUCGUGCUAGGGAUUGGGGCUUGCAAUUGUUCCCCAUGAACGAGGAAUUCCCAGUAAGCGCGAGUCAUAAGCUCGCGUUGAUUACGUCCCUGCCCUUUGUACACACCGCCCGUCGCUACUACCGAUUGAAUGAUUUAGUGAGGUCUUCGGACUGGUGCGCGGAGGUGGCUUCUGUUGCUUCCGAUGUUGUCGGAAAGAUGACCAAACUUGAUCAUUUAGAGGAAGUAAAAGUCGUAACAAGGUUCCGA